This is a long non-coding RNA of Toxotes jaculatrix (banded archerfish), 884 nucleotides long. RefSeq lists it as uncharacterized. Lineage: Eukaryota; Metazoa; Chordata; Actinopteri; Toxotidae. The record is from RefSeq and is a predicted model, not a curated record. The transcript has 2 exons.
CUAUAAGUGGAUACUGUAAGUGAACUGUAAAGUUUCCUGUGCGCGGACUUUCCCCUUUAUGAUAACAUGGCAGCAAUGAUAAGAUGUGGCCACAGGGCUGGCACGCUUGGUUGUCCAGGUGAUGGCUACCGUGGAGACAGAGGGCCUGACCGGUCUUGGCCCACACCGUUACACCAACUGUGCCAACUUACCAUCAAAUGGACACUAAACGGCAGCGACACAUAUGCCACCUUCCUCUGCUGUAGACCGUGGGCACAUGUGUUCAAAGCCGAGAAAAAGACAAACCAAUAGGGUGCACAGCCAUUUGAAAUCCGAAGGUUUGAAAUCAGAUUUGCCACCCUCGAAUCUAACCACAUCAGUUAAAAGACUGUUGAAAUAUCUGACCCAGCAUCAGCGGUCUAGAGAUGUGAUUUUGUUGCUGGUGGGCUGUAAGAAACAGAGAAAAGAUUUGCAGAGACAGCCCAUAACAGCUCUCUUGGAACCAAUGACUCAGAUAUGCAGAUGUGUUUACUUCCCUUCUGUUUCCCACCUCAACCAGCACAAAAAAGGCAGGGGGAAUGAAAGUGCCUGAUAAUGUCUUUAAGUGUUUCAUUUAUAUAUUUAUAUGCUGUUAUAAAGAACUCAUUUUUUACUAAAACUUAGACAGGCACUUCAAAUGGGCUCUUUGCCUCUUCUCUCUAUUCCCUCCCUCCCUUCUGAGGGUAUUCAUCUUUUGUCUAAUGCGUAGCGCUGCUCUCUGUUAGUUUCUUUCUGACACCAUGCCAGCAGAGUCAUCUGCAAAGGGACUCAUGUAGGGAUUAAAAACCAUCAACAGCUCCCCUUUAACAGAGAGGUAGAAAAAAACAUUGAAAAAUAAAAAUACAAAAAAAAAAAAAAAAAAAAAA